RNAcentral lists this unclassified non-coding RNA (4143 nucleotides) under Pomacea canaliculata. RNAcentral's name for it is "elongin-A-like, transcript variant X2". The record is from RNAcentral. Lineage: Eukaryota; Metazoa; Mollusca; Gastropoda; Architaenioglossa; Ampullariidae.
CUGAGAUACUGGUUGGUCACGUGUGGGUACUCAUUCAAGUGUCUUAUUUACACAAAAUACUUAUUAGACAGGUGCAGUAAAAGUGUAUGAAAGUCGCUACUGAAAAAAUUCAGUAUGAUGCUCAACAUAAUUCUUUACAGCAUAACAUAAAAGCAGCCACAGUAUUCAUUCUUUUAUCACAGAAAAGAUUCCGCUAGAACACGAAUAUCCCUGGACUGCUGGCAGACAAUUUUUUUCCAGUUAACUACUAAAACGAAGCAUGAGACUUCAAAGCUUUCGAUUUAGUCACAUUCUUUGUGGAGGCUCGCCGAGACCAACAGCGGAGAACUUCGCAAGAGGCUACGCGUUGGUCUCGGCAGACAGACAGCAGUCCACCUACACACGUGCGUGGUUAGAAACAAGUUGCAUGGCAAUCAAAGGGACAUAACUGUCAAGCCUCCAAUUAUUCCUUUAAGAGUGCAUUCCCUUGAAGGUUUACAAGAUGCUGUGAGAUGGCGGAUCUGCUUCACAAGCUGCGAAAAUAUAAAGCAUACUUGAAGGUGCAUCCUGAUGGCGAUAAGGUGCUGCCUGUACUUCAGAAGCUUUCCACUCUUCCUAUGUCAAUAGCAACAUUGCAGGAAACUGGAAUUGGAAAAGUGGUUAACGGUUUUCGGAAACAGGAUGGAGAUGUUGGUGAUUGUGCAAAAUCUUUAGUUGCACAAUGGAAGGAUCUGGUGACUGCAGAGGCAAAACAGAGGCAGCAUGAAAGUGAUGAAAGUGGUGAUGACAGAGCUGCUGAAUCAGAACAGGAUGAAAACAGAGAUGAAGCAGCAGAAGAAGAAGAGAGUAUGAGACAUAAUGAAGAGAGUAGUGAUGAAAACCAUUAUCAAGAAACAUAUGAAAACUGUGAGAAUGAAGAUGAGCCUUAUGAUGAUGGAAGAGAAGCUUCUGACAGUUCUGAUCACGUCCAAGAAAGUGAGAAUGAUGAUCAAGAUGACUCUCACUGCAGCAUGCAACAUGAUGACGAAAACAACUCCGAUGAAAGUGAGGAAGAUACUUGUCGCAAAUCCCAUUAUAAAAGCAGACAAGAUGACGAGGAUAUUGGUCAGGCAUUUAAGAUGGGAAAGCUUCACAGUCAUUAUUCAUCCCAUAAUAAUGCCACACUAGAGCACACCUCGACAAAGAGAGAUGCUCGAAGAGAAGUUAAAGAAAAGCAUCGUAGUAGCCACAAGUCUUCAUCUUCAAGUGCCAAACACCACAUUAACCAUGGAGAUUUUGACCGAAACACAGACAUUAAGCACAGCAGUCAUGUUAAAACUGCUGACAGACAGCCAGAUGGACAUCAUGAAAGUGCCUCCAGGCACAAGGAGGACAAGAACAGAUCAUCCUCAAGAAGUAAACAUCCACAUAAAAGUGAGUCUGAAAAUCAGGCUUCUAAGAGUCAUCACCAAAAUUCAUCACGCUCUUCAACGCAUUCUUUGUCAUCCAAAGACCAGACCUCAACAAAAUGUCAUAACAAGGAGGGGUUACACUCAAGCACUUAUCAGUCUUUAUCAAACUCAAGCUUAAAAACUAACAGCUUUUCAUCCCACACUACACCAGAUGACAAGCAGUCUUCUAAAUUAGAAACUCGGCAUUCAGACAGCAGCAAAUCUUUAGGCAACAAAACUGUUUCAUCCAGACUUUCUGAUUCAGGUAGCACAUCCAAACCAACAAAUUCAGGUAGCAGUAAGUCCACAGAUGAGAAGAUUGUUAAGUCUGGUUCAAAGCAUCAGAAUCAUGAAAAAUCCAGCAAACCAAUGCCAACGUCUGGCCUGCGGCAUUCAGGUGAAAAAGAUUCAUCUGCAAGAAAAAAUAUUUCCAAGACAGAUCAUGGAUCAAGCAAAGAUAAGGAAAGACAGAAACACAAAGAAGGACAUUCCUCAGAAAGCAGGCAGGCAUCCUCUCAAGACAGACAUUCAAAACAUGUUGCAGAACCACAAAGGCAAACUUUAGGCCAAGCUAGCAAAUCUGGCAGGAGUAACCCACUUUCAGUCAAAGAGACCUGCAGACCUCAUCUUGAAAGUGAAGAGGAGGAGAGAGGAGGAACAGCAGAAUCCUGUGAUGAUUAUGAGGAAUACAUUGACAGGUGGGUAGAGGAUGGUGUUGUUGAGUACAACCCUAGUGCUGUUAAGCCAAAGGCUGCAAAGAAGAAGAGGCUGUCAACAUCUGAAUCGGAAAGAAGUCAAAGCAUUGAAGACUACGAAGAAUAUAUAAGUAAGCAGGCUGCGCAUGCCUCUGCAGAUUUUGUAGAGUACACCCCUGGGCCUGUGAGCAAAGACAGUGACAAAAACCACUCUCGGCACAACAAGGACCAAAAAAGUUCUAAACACAGUCAUUCAACAAGUGACAAACAUCAUUCCCGUAGUGACAAGAGCAACUCUAAACUACAGAAAUCUUGUGAAAUACAUUCUGUGGACUACGUUCCAACAAAGAUACAAAGAGACAAAGUCAGUUCACAUGAACCUAAUAAAGCUGCAGAUCCUUUGCACAAAAAAGUCAAGUCUUGUGCCCAUGAGGAGUACACUGUGCUUGAAGACAGUGACGGUGAGAAUGAGAAUGCUGAAUACAUCCCAAGCCCCAUCAAACAAGGAAAAGAGCGUAAGCCAGUAUUCGAGGUCUUCAGUGGUGACGAUGAACAUUUGGAUACAGAAUGCAGGAGUAGAGAAACAAAGACCAAGACUAAACAUAAGGAGCAGGUUCAAGAUGAAAAGCUACAUUACGGAAAUGAGCAAAGGAAAUCCUCCCAUUCCUUAUCCUCACAGAACUCGAGCAAAAAUUAUAAUGAUGAAAAACAAGUAGACAGGAAAGUGCGUUACGAUGGGAAAAUUUUUAGUGAACCAAAGCAAAAUUUUACAAUGCACUCAAAGUCAACAGGCUCAGGAAAAAAUACAGAGAAGCAAAAACAUGGUGAAAGUCAAGACACAGAAAGCAGGAAGCCGAGCGAUAGGAAAUCCAAGCUUGAUUCACAUGUCACCGGAACAUCCAAGAGUGAUCGGAAUGUCAAAGGUGUUCCAUCCCAUUUAGGUUCUUUGGAUACAAAGAAAGAUAGCACAUCUCAUGGCAAGGGCACUACAUCUUCAGCCUCGAAGCCCAAAAGCAAGUCUCAUCUUGUGAGUGAGGCUACUGAAUAUAGCCUCUUCAGCUGUCCAGAUGAUCACACCAUCAAAACAAGCAUCAAAAAGGAAUCUAAAGUUCCUGCAUCUUCAUCUGUUCGUCAUGCAGACAAAAGCAAAUCUUAUGACAAAUCUGUAGUAAAAGACAGCAGCAAGGUGCAGGGUAGACAUUCAAAAACCUUUCCGGAUGAAAAAUCUUCACAAGACAAUAAAUUGUCAUCAGAAAAGACCUAUCACAGUGUCAGCAGAGACAAACACAGUGAACACAAACAAAUAUCAAAGUCAAAGGAAAUUGUAGACAAAAUCUCUUUCAAGCCAAAGGACAGAGAUAUCAGUGAUGAUCACGAACACAAGGGAAAGUCUUUCAAAACAAAGAACAGUGAGGUCGGUGACAGAAAGUCUGAUAUCGCAGAAUAUUCCAUGCCUGUUGAUGACGGCGUUUCCUUUGAAGACUUUAUGAACUAUGAUGAAGCAUCUGUCAAGAAGAAGAAGAAGACAGCAGACAAAUCUUCAAAGAUUAAGGAACCUUCAAGGAAAAGUGAAAAGACUUCUCCUGUGCCUGCUAGAGAGAUUAAAAUCACAAAUGAAGAUAUUUUGAACAUGCUACCAGAGACGAGUGCCAACUAUAGACCUUUCCGAUUUCACCCCAUUGAUGAAGAAAGACACAAGGAAAAGGAAGGCAUCUAUGUGGACCCCAUGCUGAUUGGAUCAAAAACCACCUCUCGUACAAAAGUUUAUUCAGGGCAGCGUCAUGGUUUGACGGGUGUGGCUGGCAUCUUAUGUUGAUUUCUAAAUUUCUCAUAUAACGAAGGCCAAAAGACGAAAGUGUAUUAUGAAGGCCUGUAUCAUUAAAUUAACCUAGCAACAGCUGUUUGUAAAAGAGGUGAAGUCGUUGUUCGACCUUUGCACUCAGGUCCUGAUUGACAACAUAGAUGCCAUUGACUAUGUUGGCGGCAUUCCCUAUGAUAUCUUGAGGCCUGUGUUGGAGAGAGCUACACCUGCACAACUG